GGGCCCGCACAAGCGGUGGAGUAUGUGGUUUAAUUCGAUGCAACGCGAAGAACCUUACCAGGGUUUGACAUCCUGCGAAUUUCUGGGAAACCGGAAAGUGCCUUCGGGAGCGCAGUGACAGGUGGUGCAUGGCUGUCGUCAGCUCGUGUCGUGAGAUGUUGGGUUAAGUCCCGCAACGAGCGCAACCCACGUCUUUAGUUGCCAGCAUUUAGUUGGGCACUCUAGAGAGACCGCCGGUGAUAAACCGGAGGAAGGUGUGGAUGACGUCAAGUCAUCAUGCCCCUUACGGGUUGGGCUACACACGUGCUACAAUGGUGGUGACAAUGGGUUAAUCCCAAAAAGCCAUCUCAGUUCGGAUUGGGGUCUGCAACUCGACCCCAUGAAGUCGGAAUCGCUAG
Molecule: ribosomal RNA, 398 nt
Filed under: uncultured bacterium
Lineage: Bacteria
Description: bacterial SSU rRNA
Rfam family: Bacterial small subunit ribosomal RNA
Source: RNAcentral